Molecule: non-coding RNA, 127 nt
Organism: Arachis ipaensis
Lineage: Eukaryota; Viridiplantae; Streptophyta; Magnoliopsida; Fabales; Fabaceae
Source: RefSeq, a predicted model, not a curated record
CUGAUGGACUAAAAGGAGAAGUGCAGGACAAACGCGGCUAAUCGAUCAAAGCAACUAUAAACCCACACUGGUGGUUCGAAAAGCUUUGCACGGCGGAUGGAAGAAGAGUUUGAAGAAAAGGGAGGGG